CAACCAUCAAGCCCCCCGGGCUUGUGUUGGGGCCCUGCGGCUGCCGCAGGCCCCGAAAAGCAGUGGCGGGCUCGCUAGUCACACCGAGCGUAGUAGACUCACAAUCUCGCUCAGGGCGUGCGGCGGGUUGCUUGCCGUAAAACAACCCAAACCAUUUCAA
This 160-nucleotide unclassified non-coding RNA is filed under the name uncultured Sordariomycetes. Its description in RNAcentral is "sequence contains ITS2". The record is from RNAcentral. Lineage: Eukaryota; Fungi; Ascomycota; Sordariomycetes.